CGGAAGAGAAGAAAGAAAAAGAAAGAGGAGAAGAGAGGGGGGAAUAAAAAAAAACAAACAAACAACAACAACAAAAGUCAGAAGAGAGUAAAGCACCCGGACAGACACAAACAGAGCAAAACAAAACAAGAACAGCCACAACAGAGAGAGAAAUGCUAAAAAUGAAAUCAACUGGGACCGGGAGCAGAGGCUGGAGGGGCUGAAGAAGGAGUGGGGGUGCGAGAAGAGUGGCCGCCAUCAUCAUCAGCAACAGAGGAGAGCAAAUCGGACAGGCCCCUCUUAAGAGAGGAUUUAUAUAUAGGUAAGUGUUGGAGAUUUAAACCUAC
This is a non-coding RNA of Zonotrichia albicollis (white-throated sparrow), 326 nucleotides long. Lineage: Eukaryota; Metazoa; Chordata; Aves; Passeriformes; Passerellidae. The record is from RefSeq and is a predicted model, not a curated record.